RNAcentral lists this ribosomal RNA (492 nucleotides) under uncultured bacterium. Its description in RNAcentral is "partial 16S ribosomal RNA". It matches the Rfam family "Bacterial small subunit ribosomal RNA", at positions 29 to 507 of the family's 1533-position model. The record is from RNAcentral.
AGUGAACGCUGGCGGUAGGCCUAACACAUGCAAGUCGAACGGCAGCACAGUAAGAGCUUGCUCUUACGGGUGGCGAGUGGCGGACGGGUGAGGAAUACAUCGGAAUCUACUUUUUCGUGGGGGAUAACGUAGGGAAACUUACGCUAAUACCGCAUACGACCUACGGGUGAAAGCAGUGGAUCUUCGGACCUUGCGCGAUUGAAUGAGCCGAUGUCGGACUAGCUAGUUGGCGGGGUAAAGGCCCACCAAGGCGACGAUCCGUAGCUGGUCUGAGAGGAUGAUCAGCCACACUGGAACUGAGACACGGUCCAGACUCCUACGGGAGGCAGCAGUGGGGAAUAUUGGACAAUGGGCGCAAGCCUGAUCCAGCCAUAGCGCGUGGGUGAAGAAGGCCUUCGGGUUGUAAAGCCCUUUUGUUGGGAAAGAAAAGCAGCAGGUUAAUACCCCGCUGUUCUGACGGUACCCGAAGAAUAAGCACCGGCUAACUUCGUG